This 72-nucleotide transfer RNA is filed under the name Chloroflexota bacterium. RNAcentral's name for it is "Chloroflexi bacterium tRNA-Arg". It matches the Rfam family "tRNA". From Rfam's summary of the family: Transfer RNA (tRNA) molecules are approximately 80 nucleotides in length. Their secondary structure includes four short double-helical elements and three loops (D, anti-codon, and T loops). Further hydrogen bonds mediate the characteristic L-shaped molecular structure. tRNAs have two regions of fundamental functional importance: the anti-codon, which is responsible for specific mRNA codon recognition, and the 3' end, to which the tRNAs corresponding amino acid is attached (by aminoacyl-tRNA synthetases). tRNAs cope with the degeneracy of the genetic code in two manners: having more than one tRNA (with a specific anti-codon) for a particular amino acid; and 'wobble' base-pairing, i.e. permitting non-standard base-pairing at the 3rd anti-codon position. Lineage: Bacteria; Bacillati; Chloroflexota. The record is from RNAcentral.
GCCCCCGUAGCUCAGCGGAUAGAGCACUGGUCUCCGGAACCAGAGGCAGAGGUUCGAUUCCUCUCGGGGGUA